Molecule: ribosomal RNA, 460 nt
Filed under: uncultured bacterium
Lineage: Bacteria
Description: partial 16S ribosomal RNA
Rfam family: Bacterial small subunit ribosomal RNA
Source: RNAcentral
CCUACGGGUGGCAGCAGUGGGGAAUAUUGGUCAAUGGAGGAAAGUCUGAACCAGCGACGUAGCGUGAGGGAUGACUGCCCUAUGGGUGGUAAGCUUCUUUUGUAGGGGAGUAAAUUGUUCCACGUGUGUGAUUUUGUAUGUCCCAUAUGGAUAAAGCUGGGCUAACUCCGUGCAAGCAGCAGCGGUAAUCCGGAGGUUCCGAGCGUUAUCCGGAUGUAUUGGGUGUAAAGGGAGCGUAGGUGGAUUGUUAAGUCAGUUGUGAAAGUUUGCGGCUCAACCGCAAAAUUGCAGUUGAAACUGGCAGGCUUGAGUACAGGAGAGGUGGGCGGAAUUCGUGGUGUAGCGGUGAAAGGCUUAGAUAUUACGAAGAACUCCGAUUGCGAAGGCAGCCUACUGGACUGUAACUGACACUGAGGCUCGAAAGUGUGGGUAGCAAACAGGAUUAGAUACCCCAGUAGUC